Long non-coding RNA from Eucalyptus grandis, 971 nucleotides. RefSeq lists it as uncharacterized. Lineage: Eukaryota; Viridiplantae; Streptophyta; Magnoliopsida; Myrtales; Myrtaceae. The record is from RefSeq and is a predicted model, not a curated record. The transcript is spliced from 5 exons.
AUUUAUGUUAACCUACAUUGUGAGAAACCAUCUUGUUGACAAAGCUUCUAAAUUUGAUAUGCUUGCUUUGUUUUUCUCCUUGCGCUUUCAUAGACAACAAGACAUGCAGAGAUGGAAGCUCUUUAUGUCCUUCAGGAACAGUGGCAGAGGACUGGAUUUUCAGCCACAGAAGUUGUAGAGAAGUUUUCAGCAUGCUCCCUUUAUGUGACAUGUGAACCAUGCAUUGUGUGCAGCAGCAUUAUCAAUCAUUGGUAUAAAGGAAGUAUAUUAUGGCUGUGCAAAUGAUAAAUUUGGAGGCUGUGGCUCAACAUUGUCUUUGCAUUCAAGUAGCUCCAAGGCAUGUGUUAGUAAUGAGGAUUCUGGAUUAAAGGGUUUCAGAUGUUGUGGAAGUAUAUUGGCAUCACAAGCAAUUCCUCUUCUGUGAGAUUCUUAUGAAAGAGGAGACCCUACUGCUCCAAAGCCUCACAGGUCACGGGUUACUCAAGCUUCUCAUUGGAUCUGCACGUUGAUUCUUCCUUGAAUCCUCUCAUAGCUUUACACAACUAGAACUUCAUCAAGAGACCUGAGAAAGGAAGCGUGAUGCACGUCCAAAUCAGUUUUUGUCCAGAUGUUCAUGUGUUUACUAAGGGUUGCAGCUAUGAUCCCAAGUCCAUUUCAUGCUUUAAGUUGAUUAUCAGAUUGUUAAAAUAGUUUACGACAAAAUUUAUGCUUAACUACAUCUAGGUCUUAAUGGGUGGGGAACACGUCCAUUUCCAUUGCAGCAUAAUUAUCCAUGUCAGGGAUCGAAUCUGUAGUGAUUUUUUGCUGAUGAGUGAGGAGUCCAUUAUAUUCUAAUAUGUGCACGGGCACAAGUAAGAUUGUAAAUUUACAUGGGCCCGCACAAAUUUAAUAUGUCGCUUGCGAGGCCCAGGAAUAAUUAUUUAAAUAAAAUAAGGUCAGGGGCUAAUAAGAAGUAGGGGCGUGAAUAAAAA